CACGUAGGGCGCGAGCGUUGUCCGGAAUUAUUGGGCGUAAAGAGCUCGUAGGCGGCCUGUUGCGUCCGCUGUGAAAGCCCGGGGCUUAACCCCGGGUCGGCAGUGGAUACGGGCAGACUAGAGUGCGGUAGGGGAGAUUGGAAUUCCUGGUGUAGCGGUGAAAUGCGCAGAUAUCAGGAGGAACACCGGUGGCGAAGGCGGGUCUCUGGGCCGAUACUGACGCUGAGGAGCGAAAGCGUGGGGAGCGAACAGG
RNAcentral lists this ribosomal RNA (253 nucleotides) under uncultured bacterium. Its description in RNAcentral is "partial 16S ribosomal RNA". It matches the Rfam family "Bacterial small subunit ribosomal RNA", at positions 524 to 776 of the family's 1533-position model. The record is from RNAcentral.